UACGUAGGGGGCAAGCGUUAUCCGGAUUUACUGGGUGUAAAGGGAGCGUAGACGGCGAUGCAAGCCAGGAGUGAAAGCCCGGGGCCCAACCCCGGGACUGCUCUUGGAACUGCGUGGCUGGAGUGCAGGAGGGGCAGGCGGAACUCCUGGUGUAGCGGUGAAAUGCGUAGAUAUCAGGAGGAACACCGGUGGCGAAGGCGGCCUGCUGGACUGCAACUGACGUUGAGGCCCGAAAGCGUGGGGAGCAAACAGG
This 253-nucleotide ribosomal RNA is filed under the name uncultured bacterium. RNAcentral's name for it is "partial 16S ribosomal RNA". It matches the Rfam family "Bacterial small subunit ribosomal RNA", at positions 524 to 776 of the family's 1533-position model. The record is from RNAcentral.